UUUAAAGUUCCCCUAUUGCCAGCCUUAUGUCUUAAUUGAAUUCAUCUUCAGAGAAGCUGAAAGAGUUUUCAAAAGAAUAACUAGGCUGGGUGCAGUGGCUCACGCCUGUAAUCCCAGCACUUUGGGAGGCCGAGGCGGGUAGAUCAUGAGGUCAAGAGAUCGAGACCAUCCUGGCCAACGUGGUGAAAUCCCAUCUCUACUAAAAAUACAAAAAAUUAGCCGGGCGUGGUGGCGGGCGCCUGUAAUCCCAGCUACUUGGGAGGCUGAGGCAGGAGAAUCACUUGAACCCAGGAGGUGGAGGUUGCAAUGAGUCGAGAUUGCACCACUGCACUCCAGCCUGGUGACAGAAUGAGACUCCGUCUAAAAAAAAAAAAAAAAGAAAGAAUAACUAUGGAGAACUUUUUUCCUAGUAACAAUGCGUCAGUUUGACCAUCCUCAUAUUGUGAAGCUGAUUGGAGUCAUCACAGAGAAUCCUGUCUGGAUAAUCAUGGAGCUGUGCACACUUGGAGAGCUGAGGUCAUUUUUGCAAGUAAGGAAAUACAGUUUGGAUCUAGCAUCUUUGAUCCUGUAUGCCUAUC
Molecule: small RNA, 578 nt
Filed under: Pan troglodytes (chimpanzee)
Lineage: Eukaryota; Metazoa; Chordata; Mammalia; Primates; Hominidae
Description: retained intron
Source: RNAcentral